AGCUGUUGUUCAGACUAGGUGUAUCACCCUUGGGUGAGUCAUGGGCCUCUAUAAAUACAAUCAAAACACUCACAAUGUGCACCAGUCUCUCAACUUCUUGAUCAGGUAAUGUGAACACAUGAUACACUCAAUGUGUGCAGCAGUCUAAUAUUUAGAAAUUUAAAGGUGUUGAUUUAACAUUGAAAGUGCUGAAGAUUAUGUUCCACUCUUUCUUUCUCAAGUAGUGUUGUGUACAGUGCCUGUCAACCAAACAGAUAAGAUGUCUGAGAAGAAAUGCGUGUGUGCCCGAAGGAGAGUGUGAGGAUCGUGGAAAGGGUUGUGACAAGGGAAAGGGAAAGGAUGGCGACUCUGAUGGAGAAGGGAAGUGCCAUGGAAAGUCGGGUGAACGUGGGGGACACGGACACGGAAGGGGAGGAGGCCCGGACUGUGGAGAGCGUGGUGGAAAGGGUGGUCGUGGGGGAAAGAACAACUAAUGACUUUGUUUUGUCUGAAGUAAAAUAAUAUAUAUAUAUAUAUAUAUAUAUAUAUAUAUAUAUAUAUAUAUAUAUAUAUAUAUAUAAAAGAGACUAACCCUAAACAAGCGUAUCUCCAAUUGUAAUCCAUUGCUUCAUUGUAUUCAAUAAAACAAUUUGACCCAAA
Long non-coding RNA from Gadus morhua (Atlantic cod), 639 nucleotides. Lineage: Eukaryota; Metazoa; Chordata; Actinopteri; Gadiformes; Gadidae. The record is from Ensembl.